This 7475-nucleotide long non-coding RNA is filed under the name Triticum aestivum (bread wheat). RNAcentral's name for it is "long non-coding RNA (TAES_LNC023320)". The record is from RNAcentral. Lineage: Eukaryota; Viridiplantae; Streptophyta; Magnoliopsida; Poales; Poaceae.
UCUAUGUAUGCUUCUUUUGAACAGUGAAUAUGGCCCACAUCUGAAGUCCAUGAAACAUGACUAUGUGAGGCACUUUCACACCGGAUCGAAUGUCAGACCACCAUAUGGGUCGUCCAAGACGAGAUUCUGGACUAACAGAGUCAUUUUCGAGUCGAUUUAUUAUGUCUGACUCAUGCAUGUGGCUUCCCUUCCCCUACACAACUAAAGCUCGUCCCUCACUGGCUAAAGCGAACUCCACCUAGAUCCACCAUUCCCCCGCAGUCAAUUCUUCCUCAUCAGCCAUUCCCGAAGACAUCUUGCCGCUCAUUCCUGGCUUCGAUUGCGGAGAGCAGAUCAUAACAUAGAUUGCCCAUAGUGUGGCAAAUGUCGGCAAUCUGCCCCCGGUCACCUGCAACCACAAGAGUCCCUUUAGUAUGAAUCAGAUUCACACCAUAACCAUUUGCAACAAUCUAGUCCUCUAAUACAAGCCCAUCAUAAUUCUCAAUAGUCAUUAAAAUAUGGAAUCAAAACAGCUAACAAUCUAUCAUGUAUCCAAAAUUGACACCUAUGCUUAUCAUACAUGCCGGAGAAAAAUAGCUACAAUGUUGCUGUCAAGAUAACAUUUUGGAAGCAUUUUCUCUCAAAUAAGUAUUAAUAGAUCAGACACUGACAAAAUGAUUAUGGUAGUGUAAACCAAACGAAAUGACAUGGCCCACACACCAAUCUAUUCAGGAGUGUUACAUUAAUCCAACAAUUUGUUCAGCGCAUGGUAGCUAUAUAAAUAAUCCAGAUAUCAUUCGUGUUGACAGAAAUUAGCAAUGCUCCCAAGUACAUACAAAAUUGUCGAGAGAGAAUUUCCUAGCAUGCUGAGUUUCCAAAGACUGGACUUCUUAAUAAUGACACACCUUCGUGUCCAUGCAGGAGCUUUAGGGUCGAUCAGGCCAUAGAUUUCUUCGAUGUUGGCGACGAAUCUUCCGUUCAAGCUUCCGUUGCCCCUCCACCACACAUAUUUGCGUGUCUCCACUCACUCCCCUCAUAGGCGGCCGCUGCUCGACAUGUUGAGCCACUCAUGGCUGUCUCCACUCACUCCCCUCAUAGGAAUAGUGAACCGUAAAAAUAUUUUCAGAGUAUUAGGCUUGUAUCAUGAAUUAUGUUCGCUUCUAUCAAUGCUUCAAGACGCAAAGCUUUUUGUGUUUGCUAAGAAAACUAAGCAAAUAUGAAGGUAAAAGGAAAUCAUCAAUAUAAUUCCGCAAAAACUACUACAUGGAACGGACAUGAAAUGUUGCGGAAAUUGCUGAAUCUUGCUUUUCUGGAACAACGAUAUAGAGUGUUCACUACUGACUUGCACAUACUUUGCAAUCAGAAAAAAGCUUCAUCAAGUAUGUAGACGCGGUGAAAGGGAAUACAACAUACAAAAUCUAGAUACAGAAUUCAAGAUAAUAAAGCUAGAUGGAGCUAACACGACACAAUAUGCUUCAUCGUUUAGCGGGUACUCCCAUGCAUAUACUAAAUCAUAUAGACAUACACUUCAACCAUCAGAACUAUGCCAGAACUGGAACUGGUUUGUUCUUACAUGUCAUUUCCAGUGAGAAAAGGGGGAUGCUAUACAUUCCAAGUCACAAAAAUUGUCUUAAAAUUAUAAGAAGCAAACUAAAAAUUAUAAAUAAUCAGAAGAAGUGCUCCCGCUGAGCGAAAACACAUUGCAUCUGAACAAUGCAAAGCAAUUGCAGCACAUAAGCUAGCACCUUAUUCAUGCUUUAAAGGUGUACAGUUUGACCACCUACUUGUAGCUACUAUACACAUUCACAAGACAUUAGGCCUUUCAUGUAAUAUUUUUCUAGGCAAGAAAACAUUGCUAUAUGACGUAACUCGUAGUAGUAGGUAAAUUCACAAACUGUGUAUGUUGUAUCAAUGACUCUGUUGUAAUCAAACUUUGAAGCUACAAUCAGAUAAAGGAAUAAUAUGAACUUCAGUUAACUGAUGUAAAAUAACAAAAAGAGGCAUGUCUAAAGAACACAAUGGAAGAAUAGAAAAAUGCAUGUAGAAGAUUACACAUGAUCUAAUCAUAUACCUUGCCACCCAAAAUUUUGCCUUUGUCGUAUCAAUGAGUUUGCUAUAAAUGAGGAAGUAGUAAUUUUUGCACGUACUCUAGGUGUUUUGUCAUCGGUUGAACGACAAGCUUCUUCAUUUUUGGAAACUACACGAACAAGACAAAACAUUUGUUCACAGUAAGUUAGUAACCCUAAAGGAUCUACUUACUCGGACAAAUUCAUAAGAACAAACUGCAUAUACAGUAAAACACAACGAGCUCUGAAUCAAAGUAUAACUAUUUGAAAAUCUUUGGAGAAGAUCAAACAAUACAUCAUUGCAUCACUACUCGGGGUCACUAACGGAGGCGCCAAUUCCUUCGAGCUGGGGAAAGGGGAAUUGAAGGUGCUCGGCAGAACUGGAAGGGGGAGAAAUGAAAACCUCAAACACUACCAUUUGAAGAGCAGAGGAUAUAUAUUUAGGCACUCACAGAAAUAAUCACCGGAGGUCCUGUACAGAUACAAGUAGGUGGUGGCAUCGCCGUCUUAGCUCGGUUGUCCAAGCAACACAGAAUGUCCUGAUCACCACACAGUUGAAAUUGAAAGUGUUUGCAACUCUGCAAAUUAUAUACAUAUCCAACGAUUCAGUUGGGAGUUUAUUCUGCACCAUUUGUGAAAACACACACUCACAAGCAAUUCGUUGAGUAGACACCGUGAAAUAAAAUUAUAUUGUGAAAAAUACUAUUUAUCAAACAGGUGAAACAAACUAAUCAGGUGCAUCUCCGUAAGCAAAGAAAAAGGCAGACCAAAAUCUAUAGGAUAUGAGACAUAUAUAUCUCUUUGUUUAUAUAUAGACACACACACACACACACGUCAUAAUACCUUGACUUUCUUCCAGAGACUAAACAUUGGUUUGUGGACUAAAAACUCAGAGAAAAAAUUACCAGAAUGGGUAAAUGAGUAAUGGAGCAAACAUGCACAUUACUGAGAGAGAACACAUGUCCAGUGCAUACAGUUAUAAACAACCAUACUUAUAUAAUUUCCAUGUGGGAGAAGUAUAUUAGGUUAUGAAAGCAAGCGCCGUCGUUCGUGAUUUUAACGCACACGACUGAUGUCAUGUCACUAUGGUGCCAACCGGCUUGCCCAUGACACAGCUAGAUUCUGUCACCUCAAUCUUUGUAAUCUCAUCAUCUUAGGACAUGCCACAUUUUGCAAUGUUGUGAGUAGAUGACAGAUAAGAUGUAGCAGUGUAUAAUGGAAUUAGGGGUGGAUCAGCAACCUGACAUGCGCGGGGGAGGUACUCUGCCCGCCACUUCCCAUCCCUAGAGGGGGCGUGCAGGGUCGGCUACCAUCACCUUGACGCUCGGCCCACGAGACUACCAUAGAUGUAUUCUCACCUGCGUCGAUGCCACGUGCAUGACGCCACGACCGCGGCUGCCACAGCCUGGCCUCUCCUACAAGUAAAAAAGUAAAUCACACCAAAAUCAACACAAAAGGCACACCAAAUCAAGUUGAGAAGUGAGAGUGCAAGGGAUUCAUCGUACCUGCUCCGAGUAGGUCGAGACGCAAUAGUAAAUCCCACCGGCUGCCUUCAUGUCCGUUCAUGAUUGGAACAGGCAUGUUUCAGCCAGCUCGAGGUGCACUUACCAAGGUUGCAAAUUACAUGAUUUACGUAUAUAUAUUGUGAGAAGAAAACCCAAAAAAACGAUUGCAUGUAUUUUUAGCGAAGUGUGCUUCUGAACCACAGCUUGGAAUUGUGUAAUCACGACAUGACAUCAUGAUUCCCCAAAACAAUUCAGACCAUAGUUAGCACAGUAUGGACACCUAAAUCUUGAACAUUCUAAAAUAAUUACAAUAUCCUCAUUUUUCUCUAUUUAUACCAGAAAUUAAGAAGAACCGCAAGCAAUCAUCAGGAAAUACCAAAUCUAGGGGUUACAGAAAGUCAAAGUGUUCCCAUCAAACUGUGGAGAACACUAAUGUUCUAUCUUGUUUUUAAUCAAAACUAAUGUUCUACCCGGGAAGAAAAAUGACAGAUGCAACUCACGCAGAUGACCAGGCCUAGGUAAUUUAUAGCAGAUGUCCACCCGUGAGUCCUUUUUCUGCGGAUUAAAAGAAACACUUGCAAGUUGUUAAACCAAAAACAGUGAAUAUAGCAUGCAAGUAAUAAUCAGAAUAUUAUUCAGCUUCCAUUUCCAUGAAUCAAUCAGAGAUAAAGUUGAUCUUUAUUUGACAUUCAAUCAAACAGUCCCAAUCAAAUUUAAUUUGGGGCAGGGUAGAAAGAUGCAAGUCAUAAUAGGGAGAAAAGCUAUCAAGAAUGCCAUGCUGCUUGUUGCGACAAAUUUACCAUGUUACACCUUUUCGUGGAAGGGUCAAAAGAUCUGGAUGCGCUUAUCUGAAAUUCUUAAAUGAUCAGUUCAAACAAAUUAUAGAGCCAAAGCAAUUCAAAAUUUAGCAUUAUGAAGGAAAGGCUCGUGAUUAGUAUGCAAAUACGAAAGGCACAAGAUUACUACGAAGUAGGAUGACUGUCUGCCAAAGGCAAAAAUAACUCAGUUUUAUGCUUUUCUAAACUAAAGCAGAAACGACCGUACAAUUGCAGGAGAAAAAUUGAUGUAUGCUUUUUCUAACCUCAGCAGUAACGAACAGACAAUUGCGGCAAACAGGCUUGGGCAUCACAAUCGAGAACAUCUAUCACCAGCAUACCGCACCGAUUGCGACACCUCAUGUUGUCAAUCUACACUCUGAAAUAUGUCUACAUACAUCCGUAUGUCAUAGUUCAUUUGAAAUGUCAAGAAAGACAAAUAUUUGGAAACGGAUGGAGUAAUAGAUAACUUAUGUGCCCCAUAAAAGGAUACCAAACGCCGUGUGAGAGAUAAGAAUUCAGGGUGACAUCUGUCUAUACAAUUAGUUUUCAAGGCAAACUUUUGCACCAAGAUUGUGACAUAGUCACAUUCCAUCGAAUGAACAUGUGAUGCUGACCGAAGACUUGAUCAACUGUUUAAAUAUGCCUAUGAUAAAAAAUAGUUUAUUCAAAGCACAUUUAUCUAAGAAUGUAGUACGAUUUGUUUAAAGUCAAAAAUGAGAGAUUUGGUUACAUCCUAAAUUAUCAUAUAUAUUGAGGAAUAAAUUUCAUCAACUCAUGAUCUAAAAUGAAAGGACUUCUUAUUAGUGGCAUAAAGUCGUGAGAAAGCCAUGUUAUAUGCACUCUAUUAUGUGUUGGAGCACAUGUGUGCUCGUUAUCCCUCCCAUCAAGUUGCCCCGGGAUUUACAGCCCAACACGCAUAGGCCACUAAUAAUCUAUGUAUGCUUCUUUUGAACAGUGAAUAUGGCCCACAUCUGAAGUCCAUGAAACAUGACUAUGUGAGGCACUUUCACACCGGAUCGAAUGUCAGACCACCAUAUGGGUCGUCCAAGACGAGAUUCUGGACUAACAGAGUCAUUUUCGAGUCGAUUUAUUAUGUCUGACUCAUGCAUGUGGCUUCCCUUCCCCUACACAACUAAAGCUCGUCCCUCACUGGCUAAAGCGAACUCCACCUAGAUCCACCAUUCCCCCGCAGUCAAUUCUUCCUCAUCAGCCAUUCCCGAAGACAUCUUGCCGCUCAUUCCUGGCUUCGAUUGCGGAGAGCAGAUCAUAACAUAGAUUGCCCAUAGUGUGGCAAAUGUCGGCAAUCUGCCCCCGGUCACCUGCAACCACAAGAGUCCCUUUAGUAUGAAUCAGAUUCACACCAUAACCAUUUGCAACAAUCUAGUCCUCUAAUACAAGCCCAUCAUAAUUCUCAAUAGUCAUUAAAAUAUGGAAUCAAAACAGCUAACAAUCUAUCAUGUAUCCAAAAUUGACACCUAUGCUUAUCAUACAUGCCGGAGAAAAAUAGCUACAAUGUUGCUGUCAAGAUAACAUUUUGGAAGCAUUUUCUCUCAAAUAAGUAUUAAUAGAUCAGACACUGACAAAAUGAUUAUGGUAGUGUAAACCAAACGAAAUGACAUGGCCCACACACCAAUCUAUUCAGGAGUGUUACAUUAAUCCAACAAUUUGUUCAGCGCAUGGUAGCUAUAUAAAUAAUCCAGAUAUCAUUCGUGUUGACAGAAAUUAGCAAUGCUCCCAAGUACAUACAAAAUUGUCGAGAGAGAAUUUCCUAGCAUGCUGAGUUUCCAAAGACUGGACUUCUUAAUAAUGACACACCUUCGUGUCCAUGCAGGAGCUUUAGGGUCGAUCAGGCCAUAGAUUUCUUCGAUGUUGGCGACGAAUCUUCCGUUCAAGCUUCCGUUGCCCCUCCACCACACAUAUUUGCGCGUCUCCACUCACUCCCCUCAUAGGCGGCCGCUGCUCGACAUGUUGAGCCACUCAUGGCUGUCUCCACUCACUCCCCUCAUAGGAAUAGUGAACCGUAAAAAUAUUUUCAGAGUAUUAGGCUUGUAUCAUGAAUUAUGUUCGCUUCUAUCAAUGCUUCAAGACGCAAAGCUUUUUGUGUUUGCUAAGAAAACUAAGCAAAUAUGAAGGUAAAAGGAAAUCAUCAAUAUAAUUCCGCAAAAACUACUACAUGGAACGGACAUGAAAUGUUGCGGAAAUUGCUGAAUCUUGCUUUUCUGGAACAACGAUAUAGAGUGUUCACUACUGACUUGCACAUACUUUGCAAUCAGAAAAAAGCUUCAUCAAUUAUGUAGACGCGGUGAAAGGGAAUACAACAUACAAAAUCUAGAUACAGAAUUCAAGAUAAUAAAGCUAGAUGGAGCUAACACGACACAAUAUGCUUCAUCGUUUAGCGGGUACUCCCAUGCAUAUACUAAAUCAUAUAGACAUACACUUCAACCAUCAGAACUAUGCCAGAACUGGAACUGGUUUGUUCUUACAUGUCAUUUCCAGUGAGAAAAGGGGGAUGCUAUACAUUCCAAGUCGCAAAAAUUGUCUUAAAAUUAUAAGAAGCAAACUAAAAAUUAUAAAUAAUCAGAAGAAGUGCUCCCGCUGAGCGAAAACACAUUGCAUCUGAACAAUGCAAAGCAACUGCAGCACAUAAGCUAGCACCUUAUUCAUGCUUUAAAGGUGUACAGUUUGACCACCUACUUGUAGCUACUAUACACAUUCACAAGACAUUAGGCCUUUCAUGUAAUAUUUUUCUAGGCAAGAAAACAUUGCUAUAUGACGUAACUCGUAGUAGUAGGUAAAUUCACAAACUGUGUAUGUUGUAUCAAUGACUCUGCUGUAAUCAAACUUUGAAGCUACAAUCAGAUAAAGGAAUAAUAUGAACUUCAGUUAACUGAUGUAAAAUAACAAAAAGAGGCAUGUCUAAAGAACACAAUGGAAGAAUAGAAAAAUGCAUGUAGAAGAUUACACAUGAUCUAAUCAUAUACCUUGCCACCCAAAAUUUUGCCUUUGUCGUAUCAAUGAGUUUGCUGUAAAUGAGGAAGUAGUAAUUUUUGCACGUACUCUAGGUGUUUUGUCAUCGGUUGAACGACAAGCUUCUUCAUUUUUGGAAA